Molecule: ribosomal RNA, 589 nt
Filed under: uncultured bacterium
Lineage: Bacteria
Description: bacterial SSU rRNA
Rfam family: Bacterial small subunit ribosomal RNA
Source: RNAcentral
GAGUUUGAUCAUGGCUCAGAACGAACGCUGGCGGCAGGCCUAACACAUGCAAGUCGAGCGCGCCUUUCGGGGUGAGCGGCGGACGGGUUAGUAACGCGUGGGAAUAUGCCCUUUGGUACGGAAUAGCCUCUGGAAACGGAGAGUAAUACCGUAUGAGCCCUUCGGGGGAAAGAUUUAUCGCCAAAGGAUUAGCCCGCGUUAGAUUAGGUAGUUGGUGGGGUAAUGGCCUACCAAGCCUACGAUCUAUAGCUGGUUUUAGAGGAUGAUCAGCAACACUGGGACUGAGACACGGCCCAGACUCCUACGGGAGGCAGCAGUGGGGAAUCUUGGACAAUGGGGGCAACCCUGAUCCAGCCAUGCCGCGUGAGUGAUGAAGGUCCUAGGGUCGUAAAGCUCUUUCGCCUGUGAAGAUAAUGACGGUAGCAGGUAAAGAAACCCCGGCUAACUCCGUGCCAGCAGCCGCGGUAAUACGGAGGGGGUUAGCGUUGUUCGGAAUUACUGGGCGUAAAGCGCACGUAGGCGGAUCGGAAAGUUGGGGGUGAAAUCCCGGGGCUCAACCCCGGAACUGCCUCCAAAACUAUCGGUCUAG